This 1179-nucleotide long non-coding RNA is filed under the name Mytilus galloprovincialis (Mediterranean mussel). The record is from RNAcentral. Lineage: Eukaryota; Metazoa; Mollusca; Bivalvia; Mytilida; Mytilidae.
GUUAUCAUUUGCAAGAUCAUAUGAAUCAAAAUUUAAUAAACGUAUAUUGUUAAAUUUUGUGUGACUUUCAUAAUAACUUUUAAAUAAAAAGCACAUCAGCAAAAUAUUUUCAGAUAUUUUGACUUCACUUAAUGAGCCAUAUUUGGAUGAUUUGAGACGUUUUCGGGAUAAUACAUGUACCUCUAAUAAGGCUAUUAAUAGAAAUUCAACCAAACUAAAGGGCCUGCCAUUUUUACAGUUAAAUGAGGGAAAAUAAGUGUUUGAUAGGGGCAGAUAGUGUUAUAUAAAAUGUUCCCUUUAACACGUAUGGUAUGAGUACCUUACAGUACAUGGAGCGUAGAAAUUGACCUCCAUGAGGCCGCUCAUUUAAAAUCAUUUUUACCAGAGGAAGAAACUUGCAGAUUACACAAGUUAAGUUAACAUAUUGUAUACUCCCUUCAACCAACUCCUAAAUGAAUUUAAUUUUUUUCUUUUCAUUUUUCUAUUCUUUUUUUCUGGUUACUUGUCCGGCUACUGUAAAUUUAAUUUUAAGUUAAACAAAUGGAAUGCUAUCAGCGCAAACAUAUAUUUUUUUUCUAUUUUAUUUCCUUGUUAUUCAAAAUAGUUUGUUCAAGAUGUAUUUGAAAUAUUAUUAUAUACAUAUACAUGUAGCUUACUUUCAAUGUAAAAAUUACCAUGGCUUGUUGAACCUCAAAUGGCCAUCAGUCUAAAGCUACCCUAAAAGUGGCAACAUUUUGUGUAUUUUUACGAAAAGUUUGAACUCAAAUAUACCUAUAAAAAAGAAGAUGCGGUAUGAUUGUCAAUGAGACAACUGUCCACAAGUGACCAAAAUGACCAAGACAUUGACAACUAUAGGUCACCGUACGGCCUUCAACAAUGAGCAAAGCCCAUACCGAAUAGUCAGCUUUAAAAGGCCUCGAUAUGACAAUUCAAAACAAUUCAAACGAGAAAACUAACGGCCUUGAAAAAAAAUGAACGAACAACAAAUAUGUAACACAUAAACAAACGACAACCACUAAAUUACAGGCUUCUGAUUUGGGAUAGGCACAUAUAUAAAUAACGUGGCGGGGUUAAACAUCUAAGUAGGAACCCAACCUUCCCCUAACCUGGGACAGUGGUAUAACAGUACAACAUAAGAAAAUUAUACGACUUUUUGUUUAACAGCUAUUUUGAUACAGU